RNAcentral lists this ribosomal RNA (301 nucleotides) under uncultured bacterium. RNAcentral's name for it is "partial 16S ribosomal RNA". It matches the Rfam family "Bacterial small subunit ribosomal RNA", at positions 509 to 807 of the family's 1533-position model. The record is from RNAcentral.
CAGUCGCCGCGGUAAGACAGAGGAUGCAAGCGUUAUCCGGAAUGAUUGGGCGUAAAGCGUCUGUAGGUGGCUUUUCAAGUCCGCCGUCAAAUCCCAGGGCUCAACCCUGGACAGGCGGUGGAAACUACCAAGCUGGAGUACGAUAGGGGCAGAGGGAAUUUCCGGUGGAGCGGUGAAAUGCGUUGAGAUUGGAAAGAACACCAACGGUGAAAGCACUCUGCUGGGCCGACACUGACACUGAGAGACGAAAGCUAGGGGAGCAAAUGGGAUUAGAGACCCCUGUAGUCCCUGUCUCUUAUAC